Non-coding RNA from Cyanistes caeruleus (blue tit), 1181 nucleotides. The record is from RefSeq and is a predicted model, not a curated record. Lineage: Eukaryota; Metazoa; Chordata; Aves; Passeriformes; Paridae.
UCACAGAUCAUCUGGUUUCAACCCCCUGCCAUGGACUGGGAUGCCUUCUGCCAGCCCAGAUUGGCUGUUUGCCAUGUGGGAAGUGCAGGCUUUUGCUGAGACUUGGGUAAUGACAGUCUCAUCUGAGAGAUGCCAAGAGUCACUGACCUUCCAUCAAUCAGCACACAGCAGUUUCUCAUUCUUUAGAGUGGAUAUUAAGAUUUGCAAAUAGAAAUUAAAUCCCUCCAGGGGAUUCUCUCCAAGAAGAGAAUGGUUUCCCAGCCAGAAUGCUGAAUCCAAGGCAACUUCUUGUCUUGCCACAGCAGGUUUUUGUCUGCAGUGUGCUUCCUUCUGAUCCAUGGUUCUGCAGGCAUUGUGAGAUGGAGGACUGAGCCUUUGUUCCAGUGGUAGCAGAUAGCACUGCUAUUUGAUGCUUCCACCCUGAAGCACCACCCAGCUGGCUUGGGGACCCCUGCUACAAGGGACAAACUGAGCUCUGCAUCAGGCACUGCUGCUGCACAGGUUUAGCACAAGUUCUUGUCUGCCUUUGUGGGCCUUGGUGCUGUGACUGCACGAUAGGCAUGCUCUAGAGCUACUGCCGUGCCUGCCGUCCGACCAGAAUCUGUCUAAAGGCAGUGGAUCUUGGAUUUCACAUCAACAGUAGAGGUCUAAAAGUGUCAUUGUAUCCUGCACAGUGUAUCCAAACUGUGAUCUUGUGGAAUGGACUCAUAAACCAAGACUUUAUGAUACUUGCACUGAGUGCAGUGUAAAAGCAUAUUGUGUUCAUCCUUUUCUUUCUAUGUCUAAUGGUUGUCCUUGAAACCUUGCAGGAGGUGUUGUUAUCUAACUGAAAUACAUUGCUAUGAGAGCUUGCUACGCUGCACUGGGCUCUUUAGAAAGCUUUUACCAUUUCAUAAUUUAAAUGUAUGUUUGUCCCUCUUUAAUUGAAAAGUUGUUAGGAGUGAAAGGCUUGUGUGUCUGAAUUGCUUGAAGGCUGCUUUGACUUUUGGUUGCCGAGGAAACCAUUUUAAUGUAGAACUGUAUUCCAAUAACUUCAAAGUCUCUGUUCUGUUAUGGUUUGUGUGUUCCUUGGGAUGAGAGCUGUUUCAGUGGGAAGCUGUUUCAAAGUAGCUUAGUUCGAUCUGGGUUUGGCAUAUCUAAAAAGUGCUGAUGGGGCUUCAAAGUUCAGCUGGCAUUGUAAU